Molecule: transfer RNA, 57 nt
Filed under: Adicella ragma
Lineage: Eukaryota; Metazoa; Arthropoda; Insecta; Trichoptera; Leptoceridae
Description: tRNA-Ser
Source: RNAcentral
GAAAUUAAAUUUCUAAACUUCUAAUUUAGAUCCUAGUGAAUUUUCAUUAAAAUUUCU